This 193-nucleotide ribosomal RNA is filed under the name uncultured bacterium. Its description in RNAcentral is "partial 16S ribosomal RNA". It matches the Rfam family "Bacterial small subunit ribosomal RNA", at positions 338 to 524 of the family's 1533-position model. The record is from RNAcentral.
CCUACGGGAGCAGCAGUGGGGAAUAUUGCACAAUGGGCGCAAGCCUGAUGCAGCCACGCCGCGUGUAUGAAGAAGGCCUUCGGGUUGUAAAGUACUUUCAGCGGGGAGGAAGGUGUUGUGGUUAAUAACCGCAGCAAUUGACGUUACCCGCAGAAGAAGCACCGGCUAACUACGUGCCAGCAGCCGCGGUAAU